This is a long non-coding RNA of Nematostella vectensis (starlet sea anemone), 1312 nucleotides long. RefSeq lists it as uncharacterized. NCBI's taxonomy places the organism in Eukaryota, Metazoa, Cnidaria, Anthozoa, Actiniaria, Edwardsiidae. The record is from RefSeq and is a predicted model, not a curated record. The transcript is spliced from 2 exons.
CUUUGUUUUCGAUUCCUACAUUUCCUACUAGAUUCUACGAAGCAAGGCGGAAAAAGUGCAAAAUCACAUUUAUGCUUUGAUAGGAGUCACUGUAAACUGUCAGACCCAAUGACUCGAAAAAUACACUUCAUUCGACAUGCACAGACUUCAUUCAAUGUCGUCAGUCAAGCUAUUUACAGAGGCGAAACGCCAGAAGACAAUCUUGAUUCUUACAAAUUUGUGGACACUAAACUGACUGACUUUGGCAAAAAACAGGCCGCUGAAAUCAGAGACAAAAUCAAAGACCUGGGCAUCGAUAUUGCAAUAUGUUCACCAUUUCAAAGAGCUCUACAGACUUGCCUUAUCGCAUAUGGGGGCGAAAAUGUCCUUAUUACUGAUUUAUGUAGGGAACGUAUGAGUGGUGUUUGUGAUAUAGGGACCGCCAAAGACAAGCUUGGGCCAAUGUAUCCUGCACUGGAUUUUUCAGCAGUGGAGACUAACAUUUGGUGGUAUUCUGGUUCUCUUCAGUUCCGGGAUCAAGAGGAGUUUCUGCAGUGGUUUAAGUCUGAUGAAGGAGAGAUUGAAUCAGAGGAGGAUUUGGCUUCAAGGGCUGCUAAAUUUAAUGACUUCCUAAAGACAAGAUCAGAGAAAAGCAUUGCAGUUUUCUCUCAUUCACAUUUCUUGAGAAAAUUUUUAAACUGGCACUUCAAUCGUCCUUUGGAAUAUAUAGAGAAUGGAGAUAUUGUUUCCCUCGAUUUACCAGAUGCCUAAAAGGAACCCCAUCUUUCUUGGACCCUGGUUCAUUCUUCUCCAUAAUUGAUGGCAAGUGCUGGACUUGGGAUACAGGGUGGAGCCAUGAAGUCUGCUGUGUCACAUGGCUGAUGAAAUGAAAAGAUACAAUACUCAGAUUUUGAUGCCAUGAGGGAUUAAAAGAUUACCAAAAAGUAAUAGUACUUUACUUCAACAAUUAUCUGUUUUACUUUGGAAUAGAGUAUAAGGUGGUUUGGUCCCUUAUUGCAAACUCAGAUAGAAGUGUAUUUAUUUCCUGUGAAACAAAGUAUGAUAGGCAAAUAUUGAUAGUCAAGGUAACUGAACAAAGAGCUUGACAGUCAAAGUGCAACAUCUUUUUAAGUAAAAGUCUGACUCACUUGAUAUAAUAUCGGACACCAUCUGGAGUGUAGGCCUCCUCCCAGCCGAAUGGAAGAGCUAUAACAGAUAGAAACGAUUUUAGUUGUGACAAAAUGACUAGUGGGUAAGGCAAAUGUAUAUCCAAAACAGACUUGAUAAGACUUGAAUUCUUUGACACAUUAGACAGAGCGUUUGAUGAUCAAGA